RNAcentral lists this ribosomal RNA (253 nucleotides) under uncultured bacterium. RNAcentral describes it as "partial 16S ribosomal RNA". It matches the Rfam family "Bacterial small subunit ribosomal RNA", at positions 524 to 776 of the family's 1533-position model. The record is from RNAcentral.
GACAGAGGGUGCAAACGUUGUUCGGAAUUACUGGGCGUAAAGCGCGUGUAGGCGGUUCGUUAUGUCGGAUGUGAAAGCCCUUGGCUUAACCAAGGAAGUGCAUCCGAAACUGGCGAGCUAGAGUACUAAAGAGGAUCGCGGAAUUCCCGGUGUAGAGGUGAAAUUCGUAGAUAUUCGCAAGAACACCAGUGGCGAAGGCGGCUCACUGGCCCGAUACUGACGCUGAGGCACGAAAGCGUGGGGAGCAAACAGG